Molecule: non-coding RNA, 617 nt
Filed under: Pongo abelii (Sumatran orangutan)
Lineage: Eukaryota; Metazoa; Chordata; Mammalia; Primates; Hominidae
Source: RNAcentral
GACGCCGACGUCCUGGGAAAGGGAACGGCGCCAUUUGAUUUCACAGAAAACGGAAACGCAGUGAUGAAGCCCAGCCCCUGGCCCUCGCCCUCCCUCCACGGCUGUCUCGGGCCCCCCUCGCCCCUCGCGGGAGCCAGGGCACGCGGGCCUUCAACCGCCGAGGCCCCCGCCGCCCUUCUGGACUUUUAUCGAGGCAUGUACAUUAAUACGAAAGAGAGUUUGCCAUUUACCUGCAAGAUUGAGGGCGACAACGUAAGAGGAAUGGUUUUAAGUGACGCGUCCGGCUUCUUACUCCCACUGAAGGGUGAAGGUGCCCCAGGUGGACCUGGUUUGGAUUCUGAUGUAAAGAAACCGACUUCAAAACAUUUGGGCCAAUCAGGAAAAUACGAAAACUCUGACUACAUAUUUAGUGAUAUCUAGAAUUAUUGUUAAUAGUUUAAGAUGGAGUCUUGCCCUGUCACCCAGGCUAGAGUGCAGUGGUGCAAUCUUGGCUCACUACAGCCUCCACCUCCAGGGUUCAAGCAAUUCUCAUGCCUCAGCCUCCCAAGUAGCUGGGAUUACAGGUAUGUGCCAUCACACCUGGCUAAUUUUUGUAUUUUUAGUGGAGACAGGGUUUU